This 62-nucleotide microRNA precursor is filed under the name Xenopus laevis (African clawed frog). RNAcentral's name for it is "microRNA xla-mir-221 precursor". Its record names the gene xla-mir-221. It matches the Rfam family "mir-221 microRNA precursor family", at positions 11 to 72 of the family's 84-position model. The record is from miRBase by way of RNAcentral. Lineage: Eukaryota; Metazoa; Chordata; Amphibia; Anura; Pipidae.
ACCUGGCAUACAAUGUAGAAAACUGUGUUUGUAAAUCAACAGCUACAUUGUCUGCUGGGUUU